This 253-nucleotide ribosomal RNA is filed under the name uncultured bacterium. Its description in RNAcentral is "partial 16S ribosomal RNA". It matches the Rfam family "Bacterial small subunit ribosomal RNA", at positions 524 to 776 of the family's 1533-position model. The record is from RNAcentral.
UACGGAGGGUGCAAGCGUUAUCCGGAUUUACUGGGUUUAAAGGGUGUGUAGGCGGAUUUUUAAGUCAGAGGUGAAAUCUCCAGGCUCAACCUGGAAACUGCCCCUGAUACUAUUAGUCUUGAAUAUUGAUGAGGUGGGCGGAACGGGUCAUGUAGCGGUGAAAUGCUUAGAGAUGUGGAGGAACACCGAUGGCGAAGGCAGCCCCCUGGGUCAAGAUUGACGCUCAUGCACGAAAGCGUGGGGAGCAAACAGG